GGCUGGCCCAAAGGUAGAGUUACUUCAGUUGAUUCUUCACAGUCAGUUACAGAUCGAACUCCUUGUUUUACUCUUUCCACGCUUCACAUUACUGCACUUGACUAGUCUAAA
Molecule: Y RNA, 111 nt
Filed under: Prolemur simus (greater bamboo lemur)
Lineage: Eukaryota; Metazoa; Chordata; Mammalia; Primates; Lemuridae
Description: Y RNA (ENSPSMG00000018265.1)
Rfam family: Y RNA
About the family: Y RNAs are components of the Ro ribonucleoprotein particle (Ro RNP), in association with Ro60 and La proteins. The Y RNAs and Ro60 and La proteins are well conserved, but the function of the Ro RNP is not known.
Source: Rfam by way of RNAcentral